This is a long non-coding RNA of Schistocerca cancellata (South American locust), 271 nucleotides long. RefSeq lists it as uncharacterized. The transcript has 3 exons. The record is from RefSeq and is a predicted model, not a curated record. Lineage: Eukaryota; Metazoa; Arthropoda; Insecta; Orthoptera; Acrididae.
AGUCAGCACAGUCAGCAGAGCCAGCACGCAGCGCCGCGGGGAGUGUGCCAUGCUGCUGCUGGUGAUGGUGCUGGCGGCGGAGACGCGCGGCGCUGAAGACGCGGACGUGGACGGCCUGGACGCGGCAGCCCUCCAGGGCCUCAGCGACCUGCCACUGGACGCGUUGCUGCGCGUGCGCAGAACACUGGUCUCCCAGCACACAGCAACCGAAGGGACGGCGGCGGAGUCGUCGGGGACCGAACCCGUUAUGGAGCAUGGCGCUCCUGCGGAG